Molecule: long non-coding RNA, 1137 nt
Organism: Bos taurus (domestic cattle)
Lineage: Eukaryota; Metazoa; Chordata; Mammalia; Artiodactyla; Bovidae
Source: Ensembl
GGGAGCAAUCCUGUAUGUUACAAUGAUAGCAUUUUUUGAAAAUCUAGGAAAUCAAAAAUUCUCCAGGCUCUCCAUCUUGGUUUAUGCUUGAGUUGUUAUGUGCCAUAUUUGCUUUGAAAUCUUUGAUUAUCUGUAGUUUUACUAAAAUUUUGAAGAAAUAAUCCACUGUUGUCUGCUUUCUGGAUUUCUUAAUCUUCCUUCAUAAGACAGAGCUUAUGCAGCAAGCUUAUAAAGUACUACUUUCUUAAAGAAAUAGGAGGCAUUCCCAUCUUUAUUACUGUACUUUUGGUUAUGCAAACACUUUGGAGAUAUAAAUGUUUAUGUCCCCCAUAAAUCUGGUCAGAAAUCAUUUUUGAUUUUGUUGAUUAAGUUAAACAGUAGGAUAGAGUACUGGGUAUAAGUGGUCCAAAGUAAGAUAAAAGACUACGCUAAAAAUGCUAGAUCUUGAAGAAGAAACUGGUUUAUGCACUAAACGUUUUGUGCCUUGGUCUAAAUAUUAACAUGUCUAUGUAAAAUGACAAAAAGAACCAGUGUUGAAUCACAUUUUAUUUCCUGUCAUUCUGCUUUAUCCCAGACUGCUAAAUGUGUUCUUUCCAAGAAGUUUGAUUGAAUUACUGUACACAUUUACUGUCCUGUGUGACAGUUUUGUCAUUGUUAGAGAUUUCAGUAAUUAAAACAGGAAACAGAAGCUUAGGUUAUUUUCCUUAUCAAAACUAUGUUCCUUGGAGCCACGUUAUUAUGAUGGUUUUCGUGCUCUUGUACAUUGGAUGUCUUAAGCUGAGUGCAGUUUAGGGGAUCCUUUCUAAUUACAGGAAGGUACUUCUUUCCUUUAACACUGUGAUCUGACCUGUGACAAAUCUGUACUACACACUAUGUAAAUGGCUAACAAGUCAACUGCAAACCAACUGAAUGUACAACCUUAGUGCUGGUGCUGAAGUCUCUUCAGAAUAGUCAUCAUGAUCUCAAAGUUUGUUUCAGAAUUUGCAAGCAUCAAGUGUCAAUCAGAACUGAAGAUGAAACACUAAUGAAUGUUGAAUCCUCAUGCUCUAGGUGUACUUCCUUUGUAGAAUUUUUGUUUCUCUGCUAUUUUUACCAUACUGUUCCAUUUAAAUUUCCUACACGCUAACUUCGUUUGUG